Non-coding RNA from Biomphalaria pfeifferi, 352 nucleotides. The record is from the annotation of a GenBank genome assembly. Lineage: Eukaryota; Metazoa; Mollusca; Gastropoda; Planorbidae.
UGAUUACAGCUGUCUAAAUUGGUUUUCAGAAUUCUGUUAGUGUUAUUUUCUGCAUUUCAAAGUUUAAAAAAGAAAUAAUAGUAAUAAUAAGAAAUAAGCUAACAAUAAAAAAGGAUGAAACAAAAAUUUAUUUAGGUUUUCCAAAAACAAAUAUAUAUCAUUCUUACAAAAUAUAUUUAUAUAUAUAUUUUUUUUGUUAGGUCAGCUUUUCAAUGAAAUGCCAAAAAAUUAAUGUACUUAAAGUAGAUUGCAUAUUGUAACUUAAAUGGCCUAUGGCUAUAAACAGGCUGUUUGUUGUUCAACUUCAAUAAGGAUUAAAGUGGUACUGUAUUGUUAACUGGACUAAAGCUAG